RNAcentral lists this ribosomal RNA (253 nucleotides) under uncultured bacterium. RNAcentral describes it as "partial 16S ribosomal RNA". It matches the Rfam family "Bacterial small subunit ribosomal RNA", at positions 524 to 776 of the family's 1533-position model. The record is from RNAcentral.
UACGUAGGGUCCAAGCGUUAAUCGGAAUUACUGGGCGUAAAGCGUGCGCAGGCGGUUUUGUAAGCCAGAUGUGAAAGCCCCGGGCUCAACCUGGGAACUGCAUUUGGGACUGCAAGGCUUGAGUACAGCAGAGGGGGGUAGAAUUCCUGGUGUAGCAGUGAAAUGCGUAGAUAUCAGGAGGAAUACCGAUGGCGAAGGCAGCCCCCUGGGUUGAUACUGACGCUCAUGCACGAAAGCGUGGGGAGCAAACAGG